RNAcentral lists this ribosomal RNA (452 nucleotides) under uncultured organism. Its description in RNAcentral is "partial 16S ribosomal RNA". It matches the Rfam family "Bacterial small subunit ribosomal RNA", at positions 331 to 799 of the family's 1533-position model. The record is from RNAcentral.
GUACACUCCUACGGGAGGCAGCAGUGGGGAAUAUUGGACAAUGGGCGCAAGCCUGAUCCAGCCAUGCCGCGUGAGUGAUGAAGGCCCUAGGGUUGUAAAGCUCUUUCACCGGAGAAGAUAAUGACGGUAUCCGGAGAAGAAGCCCCGGCUAACUUCGUGCCAGCAGCCGCGGUAAUACGAAGGGGGCUAGCGUUGUUCGGAAUUACUGGGCGUAAAGCGCACGUAGGCGGAUCGAUCAGUCAGGGGUGAAAUCCCAGGGCUCAACCCUGGAACUGCCUUUGAUACUGUCGAUCUGGAGUAUGGAAGAGGUGAGUGGAAUUCCGAGUGUAGAGGUGAAAUUCGUAGAUAUUCGGAGGAACACCAGUGGCGAAGGCGGCUCACUGGUCCAUUACUGACGCUGAGGUGCGAAAGCGUGGGGAGCAAACAGGAUUAGAAACCCCGGUAGUCCCAUG